RNAcentral lists this long non-coding RNA (44295 nucleotides) under Ananas comosus (pineapple). The record is from RNAcentral. Lineage: Eukaryota; Viridiplantae; Streptophyta; Magnoliopsida; Poales; Bromeliaceae.
AAAAAAAUAAAGUAUAGAACAUCUACACUCAGAUCUAUGCAUAUUAUUCUUAAAACAAUAAAAUAUAGAACAUCUACACUCAGAUCUCACACCGCAUCAUCCAGGGACACAAAAAAAGUUUGUGGUUUUUUAAUAUAAAACAACAUUUAAAAGGUAUGUAAGUAAAUUUAAACCAUAUAGUGUAUAGGGUACUAGGAUUCAUAUUUAUAUUAUAGGCGUACAAAUAGUAUUGCUUUUAUUUUUAAUAGAGCAAUGCUAUCAGCAGGCCUAGUGUAUGUAUAGGCGCAAGCUUUACACGCUAACCUCUCAAAGAUCAAGAUUUACUCACUUAGCAAUUUGUUUUUUUUUUCUCUUUUAGAGCAAUACUAUUUGUACACUUAGGUAUCAUUUGGUUCAUAAAUGAAGCACUUAUUUUCCUUGGGGCUGUUUGAUUUCUCGGCAAAGUUUGGGAAAAAAAAAAAAAUCAAAAAAACAAUUUUUCAUAAAAACCUCUUUUUUCAACUUUUCCCAAACCAAAUAAUAUCUUAUAGGAUUAAUUACAUACAGCUCCCUGUAAACACAUCGAAUGAUAGAUAUUUUCGUACAAAGUUUAACUUUUUAUUUUUUUUUUAGUAGUGCUACAGAUACACCCCUAUUUAGGGUGUACAUCUUACAACUGCCAAAUCCAACAGCGGGGAAUAAUGAAAUUUUUUUUAUUAAAAAAAUAUUGAUAACUUCACUCCUUUUUUUUCGUCUCUUUCCCUCUUUUCCUCUGGACUUCCCUCUGCUCCCUCCUCUUUUUCUCCAUCUUCACUUCCUCUGUCUCUUCCUUCAUCAUUCGUCGAUUCUUCGGCAAACUCAUGUCUUGCGGCCAUCCGCAUAUUCUCUUCCUCCAUUUUAAGCUGGAGUUCUCAACCCACAUCCGCGGGUUCUUCUCUCCGAUUAGUCCCCAUCCGUGCAUCUUUCUUGGUUGUGAUCCUCAGUCCCAUCCGUGCGUAUGCCACUCAUGAUAGCCAUUCUUUUCUGUGAUAACAUAAGUGCUUUACAUAUGACAAUUAAUCCUGUUUUCCAUGCUCGUAGUAAGCAUAUAUAUAGAAAUUGAUUAUCACUUUAUACAUGAGAGAAUAUUUGAAUGGUUUCUCUCCUUGUUGAGAUUAUUCCUUAUUGUAUUAAAAUGUAUAGAAGUUACAAAACAUUACAAAUGGUAUGAUAUGCAUAAAAGAAAACAAUUUGAAAUAAUAAAAUACAAUCAUAGUUUCUUUUCUUAGAGUGGAUGAAAUCAAUCUUGGUUGAGCACAAAUGAUCCUUCACGAGAUUUGAUAAACUUUCCUAAUUCGUCUCUUGAUCAUGAUCAUUUCCUUUUUGAUGAGAAUGUUCAUUACUCCCCCGCAAAUGUCUAGACCACAUGCCGAGUUUGGUUCGUAAUUGUGUAAAACCAGAUUUAGAAAGUGGCUUGGUCAAUACAUCGGCAAGUUGAUGAGGAGAGGAGACAAACCGUGUGACCAAAUGACCAAAAGCCACCUUCUCACGUAUAAAGUGAUAAUCAAUUUCUAUAUGCUUACUACGAGCAUGGAAAAUAGGAUUAACUGUCAUAUGUAAAGCACUUAUAUUAUCACAGAAAAGAAUGGCUGGUUUAUCAAGUAUAAUACCAAGAUCACACAAUAUAAAGGACAACUAAGUUAACUCUGCAGCAGUGGAAGCCACAGCUCGAUAUUUAGCCUCGACACUAGAUCGAGAUACCGUAGGUUGUUUCUUCGCGCUCCAAGAUUAGCAAUUACUUCCAAGAAAAGUAUAUAAACCGGUGGUAGAUCGGCGAGUAGUAGGGCAGCCAGCCCAAUCGGCAUUGGAGAAGGCAUAUAAAUCAAGAGUACUUUGAGAUAAAAUUCGAAUUCCAAAAUCAAUAGUACCACUGAUAUAACGAAGAAUGCGUUUGACAUUCUGAAAAUCUUGCAUUGUCGAUGACUCCAUAUGUUGACAUGCUGCAUUAACAGAGAAAGAGAUAUCUGGACGAGUCAUCAUCAGAUAUUAUAAAGCUCCAACAAGACUUCUAUUAAAAGUAGGAUCUGCAAAAGGACGAUCAUUAAAACAAAGAGUCUUAGCUUUUAAAGCCCUAGGAGUGGAGACAGGUUUGCAUGCAGUCAUUUGAACCCAGACCAAUAAAUCGCGUGCAUACUUUCCUUGUGUAAGAAAGAGUCCUUGAAAAUUUUGAACUUCAAUGCCAAGAAAGUAGUGAAGUGGUCCCAAAUCUUUCAUAGAGAAUUCUCGAGCAAGAUCAUUAAUAACGGUAUCAAGAAGGUCUGGAUUAUCUCCGGUUAAAAUGAUAUCAUCAACAUAAAGUAAUAAAAUAUUUUUUUCCCAUAUUAGUAUGGCAAACAAAAAGGGGAGAAUCAGCUGUGCUGCAAUAAAACCCAAGACCAAAUAAAAAAGUGCUAAAACGAUCGAAUCAAGCCCGUGGAACUUGUUUGAGUCCAUACAAUGCCUUCUUCAAACGACAAACAUGAGUUGGAUGAAUUGGAUCAAUAAAACCAGGGGUUUGAGCCAUAUAGACAGUUUUAUGUAGAUGACCAUGCAAAAAGGCAUUUUUAACAUAUAAUUGCCGAAUAGGCCAUCCUUUAAUUGUAGCAAUAGUAAGUACAGUUCGAAUACUACCUGGUUUGAUAACAGGGCUAAAAGUUUCUGAAAAAUCGAUACCUUUUUUUUUAUUAUAUCCCUUACCAACAAGUCAUGCUUUAAGACGAUCGAGACUGCCAUCAGCUUUUAAUUUUGUUUUAUAAACCCAUCGACAUUCGACAACAUUCAUAAAAGAUUCCCGAGGAACAAGAUCUCACGUAUCAUUUUUCAUUAGAGCAUCAAUUUCCUCUUGCAUAGUCGAGCACCACCCAUCAUGCUUGAGUCGAUUGAAUUGACUUAGGCUCCAAAGGAGUAUGAUGUGUAAUCGAAAGUGCAUACUUGGGAUUAGGUUUAAUCACACCUACUUUUGAUCGCGUAAUCAUAUGAUGAGUAUUUGAAACAUUUUCAGUAGACAUAGAGAUAGUGGAAGGCUCACCAGUCAUAUUUUGAUUAGGUUCGGUCAUCACUCGAGAGGGUGAGAUGUCGUCAGGAAGAGUCAUGUCACCACUUGAUGGAGCCGCAACUUCAUGAGCAAGUUCUCUUGAUUCAAAAUUAUGUUUAGCAGAUGAUGGAUUUUCUGCCAAAAUAUGUUUUUCGUUUGCCGUUGUAAAUAUUUGGGAUGCUUCAGGAUUAGAUGUUGGCUGUGAGUUGCUAGAUAAAUUCGCAAUAUCAACAGAUAUAAUUUGAUUUCCACCUGAUACACUAGUUGAUUCUAUAAAACUAGUUUGAUUUGAGCAGUCAUGAAAUGUUGAUAACUCACAUUCAUCAUGUUGAAUAUCAAAUAAAUGAGAACUAUUUGAAAAAGAAAACAGUUGUUCGUAGAAUACGACAUGUCGAGAAAUAUAAACCCGCCCUGUAGGAGGAUAUAGACACCAAUAACCUUUGUGUUUAUCACUAUAUCCCAAAAACACACAUGGUAAAGAACGUGGAGUGGAGUGAACUUAUUUUUUGCAUAAUCUCUCAAAUAUGGAAAACAACGGCAUCCAAAAAUCCGCAAACUUAAAUAGUUAGGAUUCUUAUUAAAAAGAGUUUGAUAUGGGCUCUUCAUCUCAAGUCGAGAAGAGGGAAGCCGAUUAAUAAGAAAUACCGUCGUUGAGAACGCUUCCACCCAAUAGUGCCGAGGCAUGAAAGCCUCAAAUAACAUAGCAAGACCAAGUUCCACAAUAUUACGAUGCUUCCGUUCCGCUACGCCAUUUUGUUCUGGCAUGGCAGGACAAGACAUUUGAUGUUUUAUGCCAUUCAUGGCCAAAAAAUCAAGAAAUUCUUUGCUAGAAAACUCACCUCCACCGUCCGAUUGAAAGAUUUUUAUUUUUCUGUCGAGAGGCAUCUCGACGAACUUUUGAAAUUUUACGAAGCAAUCAAAAAAUUCAGACUUUCUUUUCAAAGGAUAAUACCAAAUAAAACGAGAGAAAUCGUCAACAAAAAUCACAUAGUAUUUAAAUCCUUGCACGGAGCAUAUAGGAGACGGUCCCCACAAAUCACAAUGAAUUUUAAAUAGUAGCUCAGAAGAGAUUUGAGUAGAAUUAGAGAAAGGGAGUUUUGAAGAUUUACUCAUUUGACAACUAGAGCAAAUAUAAGACAUAUUGUUCCAUUUAUUCACUCUAAUAAGAUUAUUAUUAUAAAGAUGAUGCACAAUAUAUACUAGAUUGCGGAUGUCCCAACCGUCGAUGCCAAGUUUCUUUGGGUGCAACUUGCUGUCUAUUUGAAAAGUAGGCUUGAAUCACUUGUUUGCUAUUAUUCAACGAAUAUAGUCCUCCCUUUCUAUUCCCCAAUGUAAUCACUUUUUCCGUUCUCCUGUCCUUUAUCUGAAAGUCAUUACAAUUAAAUUCAAAGAAGCAAGAAAACUCCGACAUUAGUUGUGAUACAGAUAAUAUGCUCUUUUUCAUUUCAGGAACUAAUAAUACAUCAUGCAAAGAUAUAGAGUCAAAUUUUGUAGAGAUAUUAGAAUUCCCCACAUGUGAUAUUUACAAUCUUUGGCCGCUUCCCACCGUAACAAAAUCAGAACCGUAGUAAGGAGUGAGAUUCUGAAGCUUACUAACGUCACCUGUUAUAUGGGUUGUUGCUCCAGUGUUUGGAAUCCAAUCUGAAUCUUGAGUUUCAGAAAUGCUCAUGGAUGCAUGUGCUUUUGGGAUAUCUUCUGCCUGAUCCUGAUAUGAAUGAUUAAAACGAUGCCAACAAUGAAGUGCAUCAUGGCCACAUUUUUUGCAGAUCUGACAAGCCACCACAUUGUCAUUUGUUUUGUUUUGGAAUUGAUUUGAUUGUGCUUGUGGGAAAUAACCAUCUUGUCCUCGACCACCUUGCUCCUGUGUUGGUUUUUGUUGCAUGGUACCUUGAGGAGAGCCACGUCCUUCUGAAGUAAAACGUUGUCCACCUUGUUUAAGUGGAUUAGGUUUCUUUCGAUAAUUCUUUCCUCCGCUAGUGGAUGGGUGGCCAUAGAAAGCCAUUGAAUGAUUUACAUCAUCAUAAUGACUUUUAUUUCUUAAUUCAUGACUUUGCAAUAAAGGUAUGAUUUCAGUAAAAGCAGGGAUAGAUGGUUUCAACAUUGUAGUAGUAAAAGAUUCAUACUUUGAGCCCAAACCAUUGAGUAAAGAGAAUAUUUUGUUUUAUCAUCAACGGGCUUACCAAUGGCAUUAAGCUCAUCAUAUACAGAUUUGAAAUGGCGAAGAUAAUCUGCUAACGAGUGUGAGCCCUUUUUGAUUAGUCAUAACUUUUGCAGAAGUUCUAACUUCCAAGCUUGAGAAUCUUGCGCAAAAGAAUUCUCUAGUGUACUCCAUACCUCGUCUGAAGUCACUAGCCCGACCACCAAACCAAGCACCUUUUCUGAUAAGGUGCUUGUGAUCCAUGCCUUCACCACCCAGUCCGUGCGAACCCAUGAUGUGAAAUCUAGAUUCACGAUUCGGCUUUUGCCAUCAUCCGAAUCAAUCUCACGAGCUGGUUGUGGCGUUUCGCCGUUGAUGAAGCCCACCACAUCUUGACUCUCGAUUAGCGAAAAAAUUUGAGUUCACCAUAGCAAGUAAUUUGAUUGGUUGAGUUUGAUAGAAACAAAAUUCAGAAGGUUAAUAGAAGCUAGAUAGAGAUAGGGAGAGGUAGAAGUAUUUGUCAUGAUCAAUGGCUCUGAUAGUAUGAAGAAAAGUAAGAAGUGAAAGACUUAGAAAAUAUUUGAAUGGUUUCUCUCCUUGUUGAGAGUAUUCCUUAUUGUAGUAAAAUAUAUAGAAGUUACAAAAUGUUACAAAUGGUAUGAUAUGCAUAAAAGAAAACAAUUUGAAAUAAUAAAAUACAAUCAUAGUUUCCUUUCUUGAGUGGUUGAAAUCAAUCUUGGUUGAGCACAAAUGAUCCUUCACGAGAUUUGAUCAACCUUGCUAAUUUAUCUCGUGAUCAUGAGCAUUUCCUUUUUGAUGAGAAUCUUUAUCAAAUGAUCCUUCACGAGAUUUGAUCAACCUUCCUAAUUCGUCUCUUGAUCAUGAGCAUUUCCUUUUUGAUGAGAAUCUUCAUUAAUUCUCUUCCUCCAUUUUCAACUUGAGUUCUCAGCCCACAUCCGCGGGUUCUCUCUGAUUAGUCCCCAUCCGUGCAUCUUUCUUGGUUGUGAUCCUCAGUCUUAUCAGUGCGUACGCCACUCACGAUAGCCACGUCCCUAGGCAAUCGUGAGUAAAAUUGUAAUUUUUUCUUUAAUUUGACCCCAUUACUUCAUUUAACUCAUUGCUUCACUUUUUUUUUCCAAUAUUUUGUAGUAUUUUGAGUAAAAUAAUAUUUUUUUAAUUGAGGUGAAUUAUUUUAAUAUUUUCUCACUGAUUUGGACUACGAUCAACUAGUUAAAAGAUGACGCAUUUUUAUUAUAAUUCUAUUUUAUUGAAAAUUUUCUAUUUUUUACAAUUUUUUGGUAUUAAUAGAAUUUUUCUUUUUUGAAUAGGUGGAUGUAUAGGUCAUGAAAUUACUAUUCCUUUUAAUUUUCUUAAAUUUAAUUUUUUUUCAUUUGAAACAAUUUUAUUGAUAUUUUAUCUAGUUAUUUUCCUCCCUAAUUAGGUAUUCAAGUCUCUCUGUUAUAGUGAUAUGAAGUUUUUUAUAUUUUACUUUUUUUACUUUUUUUAGUUUUAUAUUUAACAGUAUAUGAGAGUAAAAUUUGAUAAAUUAAAUAUUGAUUGUGUAAUUAUUUUGUUUGCUUGAAAUGUUAUAAUCAAAUGUUUAUAUUAUUUUCUUUUGCCGUAAUGGUACAUUUUUAGGGCUCAGUAGAAUGGUGCAUAUACAUUAUAACUUUAGACGUAUCAAUUUUGAUAAAUAUUUUGUCCCUUCACCAUUAUUCUAAUUUUGUAUUCCGACUAAAUAUGAUGUGUUAUAGGCUACCAAUUUUCUUAAAUAUCUGGGCACACAUAAUUUUAAUUGAUGAUAUUUUAGAUGGGUGAAGAAAGAAACUAUGAGGUUAGAGACGUAAAUAUUUCGGCACCAGAAAUUAGGAUAGUUUUCAAUAAUUUUGAAGCAGUUUUAAAUUUCUAUAAGCAUUAUGCACAAUAAUUAGGAUUUGGAACUGUAAAAAGGUUUAUAAGCAUUAUGCACAACAAUUAGUAUUUGAAAUUGUAAAGAGAUCAACUAAAAUGACUGAUGGCAAAACUACAUAUGUAAUAAUCGUAUGCUCUCGUCAUAAAAAAGUGCAUUGGACCAUAACUAAUUGUAACAACCCAGUCCACUAGCAACAAUAACUCGUUGGGUCCAGCAUUGGACCAUGACUAAUUGUAAUGACCGAGCUCACUAGCAACAAUAACUCAUUGGGCCCAAACCAUCAGCCCAAACUGUUUAAACCCAAUUAUUAUUACUAGUGUCUAAGUCUCUUAUAUACCCAAUCACAUCUCCAUUCCUAUUCAAUGUGAGAUUAUUGGGGUGUGACAGACUCCCCCCAUUAAGGUCCUGACGUCCUAAUCAGUCUAAUCACACACACACAGCCGACGAUCACCACGCGAUGUGAGACUCGUCUCGCUAGCCUUGUCAUCCAAACCCUGACAUAGCCGAUCAUCUUGUCUUUCCGACCCUGGCUCAGUCGAGACUCGCCACCAGUUAUUAUUACUAAUGUAUAAGUCUCUUAUAUAUCCAAUCACAUCCUCAUUCCUAUCCGAUGUGGGAUUACUGGGGUGUGACAUUAAAAGUAUUCUAUUAUGCUAUAAGAGUGUAAAAUUGCAACGAAUACAUAUUCACAUUCAAACGAAUAAAAAUUAAAACCUGAUAAGAGUGUUCUAUUAUGCCCUAAGAAUGUUCUAUUACAGCAUAAGGGUGUAAAAUUAUAACGAAUACAUGUUCACAUUCAAAUAAACAAAAAUUAUAACCUAAUAAGAUUAUUCUAUUGUGCCCUAAGAGUGUUCUAUAAUAUUAUAAGAGUGUAAAAUUGCAACGAAUAUAUGUUCGCAUUCAAACAAAUAAAUUAAAACAUGAUAAAAGUGUUUUAUUAUACCCUGAGAGUAUUUUAUUAUGGCAUAAGAGUUUAAAUUACAACGAAUAUAUGUUCGCAUUAAAACAAAUAAAAUUAUAAUCUGAUAAGAGUGUUCUAUUAUACCAUAAGAGUGUUUUACUACGACAUAAGAGUUUAAAAUUACAACGAAUACAUAUUCGCAUUAAAACGAAUAAAAUUAUAACCUGAUAAGAGUGUUCUAUUAUAUCUUAAGAGUGUUUUAUUAUAUUAUAAGAGUAUAAAAUUGUAACGAAUACAUAUUCGCAUUCAAAUGAACAAAAAUUAAAAUAUGAUAAGAGUGUUCUAUUAUAUUCUAAGAGUGUUCUAUUAUGGCAUAAAGGUGUAAAAUUAUAAUGAAUAUAUAUUCGCAUUCAAACGAAUAAAAUUAUAACCUGAUAAAAGUGUUCUAUUAUAUCCUAAGAGUGUAAAAUUACAAUGCAUAUAUAUUCGCAUUAAAAUAAACAAAAAUUAAAACAUGCUAAAAGUGUUCUAUUAUGUCUAAAGAAUGUAAAACUUGAUAAAAGUGCUCUAUUAUGCCCUAAGAGUGUUCUAUUUUGUCAUAAGAGUGUAUAAUUGCAAAACAUGUUCACAUUCAAAUGAACAAAAAUUAAAAUUUGAUAAGAGUGUUCGAUUAUAUCAAAAUAGUAUAAAAUCUGAUAAGAGUGUUCUAUAUUACGGCAUAAGAGUGUAAAAUUACAACGAAUAAUGUUCGCAUUCAAAUGAACAAAAAUUAAAACCUGUGCCCUAAGAGUAUUCUAUUAUGUCAAAAGAGUGUAAAAUUGUAACGAAUAUAUUUUCGCAUUCAAACAAACAAAAACUAAAACCCGAUAAGAGUAUUUUGUUAUGCCCUACGAGUGUAAAUUUGCAACGAAUAAAUAUCCACAUUCAAACAAAUAAAAUUUAAUCAUAUAUGUGAUUAUAAACUAUAUAUGUGUGCGUGACACUAUACUAUACAAGUAGCAAUUCUACAAAUACAAACAAAAUAAUCAUUUAUAGGAGUGUGCAAGCUACAAUGUUCCGUUUCAAGCAGUGUAGCAAAGUAACUACUAAUACCUCAUAGCACCAUUCUACUAAUCCAUAAGAGAAUAUAUUAUUAAUACAUGUUUCCUAUAUAUUUUUUUUAUUCAAACGAACAAAUCUUAAUCAUAUGUGUCAUCUAUAAACCGUAUGUGUAUGUGUAUGACUGUAGUAUACAAGUGAAAAUUUCUAAACCCUCAUCCUAUAUUAUGAAUUAUAUGGAUACAAAUAAAAUAAUAUGUACCAGUAAAUUUGUGUAACACUAUUCUACCAAUCCCUAAAUGAGAGUGUAUAUUUGCACUGAAUACAUGUUUCACAUUCAAACAAACAAAAUUUAAAACAUCACAGUACUGUUAAUUAUGCCGUAAUUAGGUAUAUUUGUAAUGAAUACAUGUUUCCUAUCCUAAACCAAACAAAAUUUAAUGAAAUACGUGAAGUAUAAUUAUGUGACUGUGGAAGCAACUUCUAAAUUCUAAACCCUAAUUCUAACUCUAAAUCCUGAAUUUAUAUAAAUGCAACCAGAAACAAUAUAUACUAGCAGUGUUUUAAAAUUGAGUGAAUCUGCUACUCAGUGACGAAGUUCGCAACACGACAAAGGUGAAUGUGAAGAUGGAACCCUAAACCCUAAAAAUAGAAAUUUUAUAUUAAAUAAAAAAAUUGAAAGAACAAGAUUGUAGAAAUUAAAAGAGUGUCCUGUUUGGGUUGAGUCUCCUGUUUGGGUUAUGGCCAAGAGGUCAGAAAUCGCCCCCAAUUUUGGGCGCCCACGAGCGAAUGAAUGAGUGGCAGGUCCUGGGAUGGACAGGAGAGUGGUUUGGAGCGUCGUACAAGCGAUUGAGAGGUGAGCUCCUAUAAUGAAGAGAUGCAAGGGCGAGAGAGAGUUCUGAGAAGAUUGGAGCAGGAUUUUCUAUAGAGCACAAGAAUGUGUGGAACGAAACAACUGCGACGUAGAGGCGAGCUCCUGCCCGAUGGAGAGAGGCGAGAGCAAGAGAGAUGCGAGAGCGCGAGAGAGAGGCGAGUGCGAGAGAUAGAGAGAGAGGGAAUGCUUGAAACCUGAGAAAAGGGGGUGAGAUUAUACCAGUCUUUAGUGACCAUUUAAUCUCAACCACCAAUUCUUUAGUUGUAGUAUGUACACCCCAAACAGGAGUGUACAGGUAUCUUUUUCUUUUUUUUCCCUACAUAAGUCCUAACGUUUUUAAAUAUACUCCUGCUGUUAUGAUCCAUUAAAAAAAUAUAGUUGACCAUAAGUAAAAUACUUAACCGUGGUUAAUGGAUGAGUUAAAUUGAUCUUUUUAAACCUCUUAUAUUAUUGGGUAAAAUAAUUUUUGGGAGGAUGUCUUUGCAUAGCUCUAGCAGCUGAGACUUUUGGAGAGAUAUAUUUUUAAAAGAAACAAUAUCAUUUCACUUAUCUGCUGUUAAAAAAUAAAUAGUGCUCUAACGGUAACAAACCAAAGGAACAAAUAUAAAUAUCAUUGGAUAUUUUCAGGGAUAAAAAUAAAAAGUUGAACUUUAUAGGAAUAUAUCUGCUAUUCGAUAUAUUUACAAAAAGUUAUGUGCAAUUAACCGAGUCUUAUAAUAUAAGUGUAAGAUUUAUACCUUAGGCUUCCUAUUGCAAAGAUUUUUCCGCUAUAUUAAUUAGUCUUAUCAUUUUUUAAAUUCUAAGACCGACCGUCCCUAGAGCAAGUGGCAAAGGGCUUGGUGGUUAGUACCUGAGACCCAAGUUCGAAUCCUAGUUGAUUCAUAUAUUUUGCUAAGUUUAUUUCUAAAUGAAAUAAACAAAACGGAUAACGUGCUACCUAUCGUCUCCAAAAAAAAAAAAUCACAGCUCAAGAUUUAUGCUUAUAAUAUAAUAAAUAAUAAAACAUAACUUGUGUAAUGUUAGCUUUUUUUUUAUUAGUAAAGAAACACUUGUGCACCUGGUGCAUACAAUAAUUAUUUAUUGACAGGAGCUAAGACGAAUCUUAGUUGCACUUGCCAUGGAGUAGUUGGGACGGCAGCUGUUCUUCCCCGGAAUUUCGUAGGCCGGACGACGGGACACUCCCCCCCCCCCCCCCCCCCCCGGCCUCUUCUCUCUCUCUCUCUCUCUCUCUCUCUCUCUCUCUUCUCGGCCUUUAUGCCGGCCACUGCCCAAUCACCGUCACCCUCCUGCGUAAGAAUUUAUUACGCGCACCCAGCGUAUUCACAUAUCUCACGCACCGUGUAUAAUUUUUGAAGACCUUAAUAAAAUCACAAUCCUAUCCUGUUCAAUAAAUACAGUGCGCAUAAUACAAUAGGAAAAAUAUAUAUAAUAAAUAUAUUCUUUUAAGUCAACUUUGCAUAUACAUUUUUAUAAAAAUUCAGUGAUAUUCAUAUUUGACUCCUGACUUGUUACCGUUAGAAAUAAAUAAAAAAAUAAAAUUUUGUAGGAAUAUAUAUACUACUCGAUAUGUUUAUAUGGAGCCGCAUGCAAUUAAUCCGAAUAUAUAAAAUCCGCUGAGAAUCCUCGUCCAAAAUGUUAGAGGACAUUGUAUGUAUAGAUGUAUGCAGAGUGUACGGAAUGUAAUUGUACACCGGGUGCACGCAAUAAGUUCUCCCCCUUUGGAGCAGUUGGGAGCAGAGAUACAGUUGCCCCUCCCCCCCUCCCACUCAUCCGCCGCCACGUGUCACGCUCCCAUUUCUCCUGUAGAAUACUCUAUACUAGGACUGUACCGGUACUCCUAACUAAUCCCGUACUAAUCGCAGAGAGAAAUUGCGAAUCUCCCUCUCACUCUGCUCCCAUGCCACACAAUUUGUUGCGUCAUUUGGAAUUUUGGUUUCACUGAUUUCUCGCAGCUGCGAUGCUUGACAUGGUCAAGCUGAAGCUCCGCGCCUUCCUCUCCCGCCUCCGCUGGCCCGCCUCCACCCCCCGCUGCCGCCGCCAACGCCGCCCCGCAAAGCCCGCCGUAGUCGUCCGCCAAUUCGGCCGGCCGAACCCCAACAUCGACGACGACGCCGACGACGCCGCAGAAUCAAUGGCUAAGCCCAACACCUCGAAGAGCGCCGUAGUACAACUCCGUCUGGCCACGUUCAACGCCGCCAUGUUCUCCAUGGCGCCCGCCGUCUCGGCAGACCACGACAUCCGGUGCAAGUCGGCCAACGACCGGCCCAAGGGCAUACUGAAGCAGCAGAGCUUGGGGAAGUCGAAGCUGCGGGUGUCGAUCAACCUCCCCGACAACGAGAUCUCCGUCGAGAGGACCAAGCAAUUGAGGGAGAGAGCUCCCUCACAAUGUUAUUACGGCUUCGGUUCCCCGAGAUCGCACUGCGGUGCGGAGCGGAGCAUGCUGGACGUGCUGCGGGAGGUCGGGGCGGACGUCAUCGCGCUGCAGAACGUCAAGGCCGAGGAGGAGAAGGCGAUGCGGCCGCUGUCGGACCUCGCAGAGGGGCUCGGGAUGAAGUUCGUGUUCGCCGAGAGCUGGGCGCCGGAGUACGGCAACGCCAUCCUGUCCAAGUGGCCCAUCAAGCACUGGAUGGUUCAGAAGAUCUUCGACGACACCGAUUUCAGGUGUGUUCAUGCAUGUGCUCUCUCCCUUUUAUUUUUUCCUGUUUUAAUUUGUUCUUCUGAUUGAUGUUGGAAGUAAGAUAUUGUUCAGAGCUCUUUUUAGUGAACUAUUUGAACGGAAUUACUGGUCCUGAUAAGAAGGUUGAUCUUGCCUGAUCUUCUAUUUACUUUUGAGAGCAGUACAGUAUCUACCUUUGUUUAAAGCUUUUCAGAAUUUUAUCAGUUGGCUGGCUAUUAUUGCAUUAUAAAUACGAUACCAAAAUAGCUAUAACACUUCUAUUCAUGUGCACGACGAGAUUAAGCGGACAUAGGAAUUGAACUAAAAACUCUUAAAACUAAAAAAGCACACAGCUCUGAUACCAGACAAUCCAAAAGAAAAAAGUUUUUAGAAGAGCCUUAACAAUUAGCACUAUAGAAUUCGUAAUCAUAAGUCGUGAAUGUAUGAGUAUCCACACAAAAUUCUGAUUUCAGACGCUCUUAGUCGGUACGAUUCUUCAUACUUUAGUCCUGGACAGAUAGGAAAAGAAGGGAAAUUUUCUCCGUGAAAAAGGUGAGCACUUUUUUCCUGGUCGUAUUUAUUCCGUAAGCAUUCAGUGUAAUCAUCUAAUUUUCAAUGGUUCAAGAAAAACCUUUCUCAGAACAGAUCUGUACAUUCAGCUUUAGUAGGCAAAGCACAAUGUUGACAAAAGUGUCUUCUUAGCAAGGAUUAGGUAAGCCAUCCAUGUUUAAAUUGUAGAAUAUUAAGUCUAACUACUAUACUAAUCGAAAAACACAAGUACUAACUACUAUGUCCUGCUCCCACUAAUAAAUCAGCAAUAAUUGAGAAGUUUGUUUACCAGCUCAGGCAUUAAAAAAAAUGUUUCAGAAAUGUUACUCAGAGAAGCUUCUUUUCACAUGCAAAAAGUUUAGGUUCAUUGUCCUGUCAAAGUUAAAAAUUCUAAUUACUGAUAGAAUCUACAUGCUUUCCCUGUUGCUCAUUGGAUCUCUAAAUUCACACAGACACUGUUGAUCUGCAAACAGGAAUGUGUUGAAGGCCACAAUCGAGAUACCGAGAGUGGGGGAAGUGAAUUUCCACUGCACCCAUCUCGACCACCUCGACGAAAACUGGAGAAUGAAGCAGAUAAACUCGAUACUUCGGUCCAGAGACGGGCCGCAUAUCUUAGCCGGAGGACUAAACUCUCUCGACGAGACAGACUACUCGGCAGAAAGGUGGGCGGAUAUCGCCAAGGUGAGUCGGCUUUCUGCCGUUUCCCCUUCGAGUAUCCGAGUAUAUUCGAUUUCACAGUAACUUUUUGUGUGCAUCUUUGUAUUAUAGUACUACGAAGAGAUUGGAAAACCAAAACCGAAGGUGGAGGUUAUGAAGUACCUGAAGGGAAAGCAGUAUGUGGAUGCCAAGCACUUCGCAGGAGAAUGUGAAGCUGUAGUAAUACUUGCUAAAGGCCAAGGUAAGCAAUACCUGCUGUAAACUAAGGUCUCGUGCGGCACCGCUUACUGCUUACGUUAUUCCUGUGUUUGUUAGUUUGAUUGAUCACUCCAAAUGGACGUCGGUUGGAUUGUUUGCAACCUAUACAUGUAUAGAUAUAGACAUAUCCAAUCGUUUGAAAUUUGAGUUUAACAAAAGCAUUUGUAGCAUGGGAUUGAAAGAAAAUAUGUUGUGAUCAUUUUGGUUCUUUCACGUUUAAUGUUCUUUAAUUUCUUUCUGACGACAAAUUGCAGACGUGCAAGGGACAUGCAAGUAUGGGACGAGAGUAGACUACAUAUUGGCGUCGCCAUAUUCGCCAUACAAGUUUGUCCCAGGAUCCUACGGAGUCCUCUCAUCAAAGGGAACUUCAGAUCAUCACAUCGUCAAAGUCGACGUUACUGUCGACAGAGCAGACGACGAAAACGGCGGCAGACGCCGGCGACACCCGAAACAGAGAGUAGUGAAGAUGGAUAAGGCAUCCUCCAGAGGUAUAUGGGGAACUAGCUAAGAAUUGUGGAACUCCUGCCUUUCUUGUUGUUGUUGUUGUUGUUGUUGUUGUUGUUGCGCUGUUUGUAAGAUUCUCCCACAUCUUAUUUUAUGCCCAGUGGUGGGUCUGUGUGUAAUAGAGAGAUAGAGAGAGUGUAUGAUUGCAAGGAUCAGCUAACCAGGGGAGGGAACUGUAUAUUUUUGUUUCCCUUACCGGCUGCUGCAGUUGUUCUUUUACAUUGAGAGAUCGAGAAAAAGCAAUGCAUGAAUUUUUUUGUGAAUGAUCAACCAAAUGAAGGGAUGUAUAUAAUGUUACAUCUGCCUUGUGGCAAUUUAAGUUGGUGGAUCGUAAAAGGCUUGAACGAAGAAUGAGUAUUACCAGUGCGUCUGGUUUGUUCUAUGAAAAAUUAUCAGGAACGAAGGAAUUCCUAAGAAUUUGAUUUCUACUCAUUUUAUUACUAAAUAUGUGACAUUAUAGUGUUUGGUUCGCAUAAUUAUAUUAUUUGAGAUUACUAGAAAUAUAAAAUUAACAUGCUCGUCUUAUCAAUUAAUUUCAAGUAAUGUUACCAGUAAUAUAAACACCUUUUUUUUCAAUACUCACAAGAAAUCUGGUUUUAGGUUAAACUGAAGUAGCUUAGCUUAGAGAGAGAGAGAGAGAGAUUUGAGGCUAAAAGUAGUAAGAGCUGAGAUUAGACAGAGGGGGUUGAGAGAGUUUCCAGGUUAGAAAUAUGGAGAGAUAAAGAAAGAAAGUUAAGCUUACAGAGAGAGCGAGAGAAAUUGGGAGUGAGAGAGAUUUGAGAUUAGAGAGAGAGAGAGAGAGAGAGAGAUCUAGAGAGAGCAUUAGAGAGAGAGUAUAAUUAGAGAAAUUGAGGGGAUAUAAGAAUUGAGCUUUCAUGCUUUUAAAAGUACAAAGUCAUUGAUGCUUGUAAGUUUGUAGCUCUUGGAUUAAGAGAUGUGCGAUUAGGAUGAUAACGGUCCCUAGAGUUGAGUGGGUGGUUGGUUGAAUAAUAUAAUCUAAUAGACAGAAAUGAUCAAAAGAAUAAAUUUAACGAUAAAAAAGUUACAAGCAUCAAGUGCUUGGUUCUUUUAUAAGGACCAUAACUGAACUCAAGAUACAGUUCAUAUUAGUAGAAGAGAUAGAAAAAUAGAGUUAGAGAGAGAAAGAGUGAGUUUAUGUUCAGAGGAAGAUGAAGUUGGAGAGAGAAAAGAGAUGGGAUUAGAGAGACUCAAAACGAGAACAUUGGGUGAUGGAGGCGGAGAGCAAGAAAAAAAUUAGAUUGGAUUAGAAAUUUUAUAAUUACCCUAAUUCAUUAAUACGAGAAUAUUUAGAUUUUUUUUAAAAAAAAAUUGAGAUUAUUAUUUUGACGCAAAUUUCAUUCCUAAAUAUAUCUAAUACUACAAAUCAAAUUACUUGAUACAUUUAAUUGAAUAUCAUCGUAACGUGAACCAAACACACCCUAUAAAUUAUUAUGAAGGUCAAAUUUCUAAAAUCAGAACAUGCAUGACUCCCCUAGCAAAUGGGUGGUUCAAGUCACCCAACUCGACUUGUAUAUAGGGAUGCAAACGGAUCCGGAUUGGUGGAGCUCCUGCCCCGAUCCGUCCCGACGGGGACAGUAAAUGGGAGAAAAUAAACGGAUUCGGAGCAAGAAACGGAAUAAAUUUUAUGAUCCGAGGCGGAUUCGGGACAGAAAAUAGGAGAAAUUUUGACUUGCCCCGAAUCCGCCGCACCAUGAUCCGCCCCGAAUCCGACCCCGAAUCUGCACCGAAAAUCAUUAUAUUUUAGAAAAAUAUUCUUAAAAAAUAAUGUAUUUACAAAAAAAGUUCAAAAUACAAAUAAGUUAGUACUCUCAUUUCUAAUGUAUUUGAAACUUUUAAAUUUUGUUUUGAAUUACGAUUGAUAUUUUUAAUUUUUAUAAUUGAUAUUGUUAAAUUAUAUAAAUAAUAUUAUUAAAAAUUAUUAAUUAUUAAUUCAUAAAAUAUUAAUAAUAUUAUAAUUUUAUAAAAAAUAUUAGUUGGCGGGGUAGAUUCGGGGCGCUGGCGGAAGGCAGGUUACGAGGCUGGAGAAAUUAUAUAAUGUAUUUUUUAACCCGUCACGGAUUCGAGGCUGGAGGCGGGGCUGGAUUUUGCUAGUCGGGGCGGGAGGCAGGGCGGGGCGGGGCUCCCGCCCCCAGAUCCGCCCCGUUUGCAUCCCUACUUGUAUAACAUAUUUAAUUAUUUAAAUUACUUGGACCGUAAAAUACUAGAAAAUUAUUUAAAGCUUGAACAUGACUGAGAUGUAUGCAUAAUUAUGCACUACAAAUAUUUCAUUCACAUGUCUAAAAUUUGGGCUCGACAUAAAAUGGGUCAUUGGUAGGUAGGUCAAAAGCGGACUACAUACGCUGAUCAACAUUGACAUGAAAUAUUGAUAAACAAAUUGAACAGGCCAAACUUAAUUAAUUCAUCAUGAACUCAUGUGGCCCAAGCUCAAAUUCAAACAUUUCAAACAUUGAAAACUCUACUGUUUAAAAUUCAAAUAUAGCUAAGUAUCAAAAUAACCCAAGUACAUGUUCAAUAGAGGCCGCGAAAGAUCUCUACUUCCUAACUGACCAAUGUAUGUACAGUUGUAAUUUCUCAGGUUGGUACAGCGCAAGUCAAAUAGAAUUGUUACAAUCUACAUAUUGCUUAUACCAAUCGAAUACAUGCUGUUAAAUUCUGAGCCAAAUUGUCAGGUUCCAAAUUAUGUUAGGUUACAACUCGCGACAUAUCAAUUAUUGCUAUCUUGUUACAGAUCCUGCACUAAUCCUUCAUAUCUUUCUUCAUUUUCAUACCUAUUUUGCCAAGGACAUUAAACUAUAGAGCCUUGUAGAUUGAGUUUUUCUCUUCUUUUCUUUUUUCUUUCUUUUCCUAGACCUUAAUUUGUAUCAACAUCCUUCAUUUUCAUAUAUAUUUUGCCAAGGACAUUAAACUAUAGAGCCUUGUGGAUUGAGUUUUUCUCUUCUUUUCUUUUUUCUUUCUUUUUCUAUACCUUAAUUUGUAUCAACAUCGAUUUUGUUAACAAGGACAAAACAGCAAAUAAAAAGAUAAAAAGAGCAAUAGCUUAUUAUAAUAUAGCCUAUGGUUGAGGAGUCAUAAGUACAUCUUUUAUUUAUCAUAAUUUUACAACCAGCGAUGGCCUUCAUUAACUAAGAGCUCCAAUAUUAAUCAUUGGAUGAUUUAUAUUUUAAAUAUAAAAACGUACAAAACUUAUCUGAACUAUAAAUCAUUUUGAAUUGAUUAUCCAACCUUUUAAUUUAUUUGGUUUGAACCCGUCUACGCUACUUUGACUUUAAAGUUUAAACACAUUGCUUAUUUAGUGAGUUUAUAGUUGCGAGAAUUGAGCGAAUUAUACUGACUAAAUCUAUAAAAACACAUUAAUUUAAGAUCUAGAACCUAAAAUAUCAUGUUUAUUUAGGUGCACAAGGGGAGUGGUUGAACCACACAGAAAAUUUCCCAAUCCUGGAAUUUCUGCUCAAUUAAAAUUUCCUGCAAACCGAACUGAGAACACCCCUAAGUUAGUUUGAUUUCAGUGGACCUGAAAUAGGACCUCUACAAACCAUAAUAAACAACUAUAAAAUAGUGAUUUGAUCCUACACAUCUCAGCAAUAUAACAUCCAACUUCUGUGUCAUCCGAAAGCGCAUUUCUACAUUUUCCCAUAUCUGAUGCAAUAAUCUCCGACAGAUGCUGUUCAUUCGUUAGUAGGUAGGUAUUCUGAGGCUUAUCAUGCAUCAUUAACCUCUGCCCAAUUACAAAACUCUUCUGUUGGUUUCCAGACUCAAAACUAUUUUGAAGCUUCUUCCCCAAACCACAGAUUCUACAACAAGUUCGUACUCAUAACAUUCCACCCAUUUCUAUCAGUAAUAUCUUCAUACGUAUAUACAUAAAAGGCAUUUUGUGGCAUCUAUCAAAUCUUCAGCUCAACAAUGUAACUCGCACCUAAAAAGUUUAUUGUUAUAUGAGUUACUCCUUAUUACCGUCACCCUUCUUCACGUAGCUGAAAAUUAUCAGUAAAUAGCAUGAGAAAUGCAACAGGCAAAUGUCUAAUGGCUUUUACACAAGACAAAUAAUCAUUGAAUCUUUCAAAUACAUCCAAGCAGGACACACACCGCUCUAUGCCGGUCAACUACGAAUAAUUAUAUUCCAAAUGCGUCCAGAAAUACAGGAUUGAAAUUCAUAUAAUGUAUUGUAAGAAAUGCAAGUCUACAUGCAGAAUUAAGUUCAACAGAUUCACUCAAGAAGAAACAUAACAUACAGACACAGGUUUUUGAAACUCGGGGAAAUAAAUCACAUAAGUUUCUUCUUUUCCAGUAUCAUAAAGUAUCAGAACAUCAAAAUCUACCACAUAUUAAGUACAUCAAACAAAGGAUCAAUUCGAUGCCUCAUAUAAAUCACAAGAGGUGUGUAUCUUUCACAAAGAACUUACCUCUAUCAGUCCAUCAUUUAUUUGCUGACGUAAAUAAGAAAUUUGAUGCUAAUAAGAGGCCCCUGAACCAUUCUAGCAAAAUAUGUCAAGCAGCAGCAGCCUGCAGCAGCUCCUUUUCUGCCCGUUCCCGGAUCCUCCUCUCCAGCUCCGGCCUGAAGUGCCUGAUGAGCCCCUGCACUGGCCACGCAGCGGCAUCCCCUAGAGCACAUAUGGUGUGCCCCUCAAUCUGUUUCGUCACCUCCUGAAGCAUAUCGAUCUCCUCCAAUUUUGCAUUUCCCACCUUCAACCUCUCCAUGAUCAUCCACAGCCACCCCGUCCCCUCCCUGCAUGGCGUGCACUGCCCACAGCUCUCGUGCUUGUAGAAGUACGACAGCCUCGCUAUCGCAUCCACAACGUCAGUCGACUUGUCCAUCACUAUAACCGCCGCAGUUCCCAACCCCGAUUGAACAGCCUUCAAUGCAUCGUAAUCCAUCAAAACAUCAUCGCAUAUGUGCUUCGGUAGGAGAGGAACAGAAGAACCCCCAGGUAUAACAGCAAGCAGGUUAUCCCAUCCUCCUCUCACACCACCGCAGUGCCUCUCUAUCAACUCCUUGAGAGGAAUGCUCAUCUCCUCUUCCACCGUGCAAGGCUUGUUCACGUGACCAGAUACGCAGAACAGCUUUGUCCCUGAGUUGUUCUUCCGACCAAAACUUGCAAACCAUUCGGGGCCCCGCCUAAGGAUAGUGGGAGACACGGCUACAGUUUCCACAUUCGUGACAGUUGUAGGGCAGCCAUAUAGACCGGCAUUAGCCGGGAAAGGUGGCUUAAGCCGCGGCUUCCCUUGUUUGCCUUCAAGGCUCUCCAACAGAGCAGUCUCUUCACCACAGAUAUAAGCACCAGCACCAAAGUGUAUAUGCACAUCAAAGUUGUAUCCGGAUCCACAAGCAUUCUUUCCCAACAGUCCCGCUGCAUAUGCUUCUUUCCUUGCCUUUUCGAGGUUAUGACGCUCAUUAACAUACUCCCCUCUAAUAUAGAUGUAAGCGGCUGUAGCCCUCAUACCAACUCCAGCAAUCAGGCACCCUUCAAGCAGUUUGUGCGGGUCAUGGCGCAUGAUCUCUCUGUCUUUACACGUGCCUGGUUCACUCUCAUCAGCAUUAACGACAAGAUAGGAAGGGCGGCCAUCCGAUACCUUUGGCAUGAAUGACCAUUUGAGACCAGAAGGAAAGCCAGCUCCUCCACGGCCUCGAAGGCCAGAUUUCUUCAUUUCAUUGACGAUCCAAUCAGCUCCCUUCAGCACCAGAUCCUUGGUCCUGUACCAGUCACCUCGCUUCAUUGCACCCUUAAGGAAAGGGUCAUGCAAGCCAUAAAGAUUGGUGAAGAUGCGGUCUUCGUCCGAAAGGCCGCCAAAGUGGGUUUUCUCUACCGGCGGUGGUGGCGGUGGAGCCUGUGGAGUAGUUGCAGUUGUUGUGGCCUGGGUGCUGAAGAACCUAUGAGAAGAACCCAACCUCUCACUGUUAAAAUGACGAACCAAUUGUGCCUUUGGUAGAGACAAAGGGUUCUUGAUAGAUCCCUGCAGAGAUGUAAACAUAUAAAUUCAAUGACUAGCUCCUAUUCUGUUACAUUUUUAACAUUUUACAGCAAGGAUUGAAGUGCUGCCCGUGCCGUACGGCACGGGGGCGUGCCGUCGGUACAGGGGGGGGUCCGAGACCCCCCCUCUGUCUGGCGGCACGCACCUGCGUGCCGCUCGAGACAAAGCAGCACGCAGGUGCAGAGCGGCACGCAGGUGCGUGCCGGCGGCACGUACCAUGCGUGCCGCCAUUUUUUUUUUUUUUCCUUUUGGCUUUUUUUUUUUGGUUUUUUUUUCUUUUGUCCUCUAGGGUUUGGAGCCCCCCCUCCCCCCCUCCCCUCUUGGGCCACCUAUAUUGUCAUUUUUUUCACUUUGUUGUCUUUUUUUCAAUUCUUUUUUUGCUUUUUGGCGGAUACCUUUUUUUUAACUUCUUAUUUAUCAAUAUAGGAGCAAAUUUUUAAUUGACAUAGGCGAUCCACCACAGACAUCCAAUUUUUCUUUCACAAAAAAUUUUGUCAAAAUUUGUCGCACCGCGAAACUUUCGAUAAAUCAAAGGAACAAAAAUCAAUUUCCUAAACAAAUUUUGAUCAGAUAUUUUUAAAAAGAAUAAAAAAACAAAAAAUAUAGAUGUAAUAUUGGGAAUAUAUGAAUUUCUCACAAUACCAGCAAUACUUAUAUCAAUAUUGUCAAAUAAAUCUUGUAUCUGCAGAUAACAAUAUGCCAUAUGAUCCAGCGCGACGAUCUAUGUGGAAUUAAGCAGUCAUCUCUAUGUAAAGAUGUAAAUUUAAAUAAUUAUUAUACUUGUGAAUUUUAUUAUUAUAUUUUAAUUUCAUUCUACAUCAGGUAUAGCUGUACUUUGCUUACAAAAAGUUUUCAUGCAUGUUAAUUGAUGAGUAUAGUAAGGUAUAUAUAGUAAAUAUUCAUAAUUAUUUUGUUUAAAUCUUUCAAAAUAAUAUUAUAAGAGUUUAUUGGAACCAAAAAAACUAAAAUAAGUCCGUGCCAAAACGUGCCGAUAGGAGGUCAUGCGUAUCUAUCGGCACGCAAGCGUGCCACGUGUCGGCACGCAAGCGUGCCUGUGCCGUACCGUGCCAGGGACAUAACGGCACGCCCCCGUGCCACGGCACUUUAAACCUUGUUUUACAGGUUAAUGACAACUAACUAAGUAAUGCACCUAGUAUACAUUGUUGUUCAAAGCAUAAAGAUGUUUCAGAAAUUGAACUGUUGUAGCAUACUUGGAAAAUUAAUGCACUAAAUGAACUAACUGCAUAAUCAUCGGCCAUGACCACUCUUCUUGGAGAAAGGACAUGGAAACCUCUCUGGUGGUCUCCAACAAAUUUAAUACAGUAUUGUGAAGAGUUUGGUAUCUAACUACUGCAGCAAGCACAUCCCUUUAGAAACUAUUUCAUACAAUGGUUAAUAUUUGCAAACGCAGUAUAUGAGAUAGUACAGGAUAUCAAAGAAGAGGAACCAUGAGGCACAGCCAUCAGAUCCAGGACCAACAGCACGGGAAAGCAAGUGUAGUGACAUUAAUUUAGAGCCAACAGGAAGGGGUUCAGCUUUUCAGAGUAGCAAUGGUGGCAAUGUGAUGAAGUUCGAAGGUGGUGUCAAGGUGUUCCAGUAGAAGAAUAGGCCUGAAGAGAUGACUCAAGGCCAGAAACAGUGUGUUGCCAGAACAACGGCUUACUGUUCUCCACAUUAAUCGAAACUUGCUUUGCUCAAAGGCAUAAUUGCCCAUGCCAAAAGUCAUAUGCAUUCACGUCAAUUAUGUCACACUUCGCUGCAUCAUGGUAUUCAUGAUGCAGAAAGUAAGCGAAAGAGGCAGUGUGACGAAUGUGAUACAGGCUACACCCAUCAUGAACAACAUAAUGCAGAUGAAAACAUGGUAAAGCAGUGAUGCCUUAUUCCUCCACAUAUGUUCUAAAAUGAAUUAUUUGUAAAUGGCUCAUCUCUACAAACUUAACAUGAAACACCUUGAAAGAGAGAAACAAAAGAAAAGCUGCAUAGUCCAUGUUUAAGAAAAAUAAGGAAAAGAACAAACCAGGGGAAAAGACAACAAAGCAAUCAUAAUAACGUGAGCACAGUCUGCUUGACUAAGGCUCUGGUACAAAAUUUGAUGUGUGAACAAAGGAGGAAGCCUCAUAAUUCCAUGACAAGCCCUUAGAUUGUUAACAAAGAAAAGAUACCAUCUCGACAGGAUUAUUCACAAAUAACAAGAAUGAUAUAGACUCUCAAGUCUCAAACUAAUAAUGUUGCUACAGGUGCCCUUUGAAUGUACUUGUAGAUUAGGUGCUGUUUAUAGAAAAACACAUACGCAUUGAAAACACCAAUCAAUUAGGCUCAAAAAGAGACUUUACAGCAGCAGCUGAUUGGGAUGAGCAACCAACUGUGAGUUUGAAGAUGAAUUUUUGGAAAACCCUGAUUUUCAAUCUUUCUACCAAACUCAACAGUCAACAAUUAUCUUGAUACAUAGAGUCUCGCAAAUUUCCACAGCUACGAAAGCUUGCUUUAAAGAUUCAGAGAGGAAGAACUGCUAAAAGACUAGAGGAGAGUUACAGAUAGAGAUUAUGGCAUCAUACAUUAAGAACAAACAUAGUUGAGACCAUGACUACUCAAACCAGAGAAUGUAACUUUAAUUCAUCAUAAUUAUAUUGCCACAUAAGCGUACGUUCAAAACCUCAAUCCAAACAGAGGCAACUAGAGCACUAGAUGUCAUCAAAACCCUACUUCCAAAGUUAGAACCACAGUACGACCAUGAUUCUUCUUUCCAUCAAUGGAAUGAAACUCACAUUCACCUAUCCUAGAAUAAGUCUAGGUAUAUCACAAACCAAUUAAGCAAGUUGAAUCUUACAUUUUGAAAUUGAAAAAAUGGAAGAAGUUUCAGUUUAAUUAAACCGGGUUUAAUGUAUGCACCAAUCCCAAAAAAUACUUCACUGACAAGCUAAUAAUUUUCUAGAACUAGACAAGCACAUUUUGGAAUGCCUUAUUCAAGUUAUAUUGCUAGUUUCCUACCGUUAGGCUGUAUUGCUAGGUAGGCUGGAGUCUCAACUGUUUCGCCAUAAUUUCUGCUUGAUUCCUACUUGAGAAAAUCCAUUACAAAGCAAAUUCAUGAUUCCCUAGUACACAAUACAUGACUAGAACAAAAAUUAUGACAAGAUUGUUGCUACCCUAUACUUGACACUAACCCAUCUAAAAUAAGUUAACCCAUCGUAUUCCCUACGAAAUGAUAACUCGUGUUUUCCAAUUACACUUUAAUCAUCAACUCUCCACAGGAUGGCUAUCCAUUUCAGCCUUGCACUUCUAUCUUUAUGACCCGUAAGAAAAAGAAGGUAAGUUGUUGGAGUGAUAAGAGCUCUUGCUGACAAAAAAUUGGAAAGAACUAGUUUAAGAAAAAGCUAAACUAAAAGCGAGAUAAAUCCAUUAAAUCAAUAUCCCUAAAGAGAGAGAAUGAGAGAUGGAUUUUAAAGUGCUCAAGGUUCUGGAGAUCAACAGGAAGCUUAGAAUUCUAUUGCUGUUCCACAUUCAGGAGAUAUAGAUUGCAAAAAUUUAUUAAAUAUCUUGAUGUUAAUUUGUUCUGCAUUUCCCAUUUUCAAGUAUCUGAAACAUCAUAUGUCCACAUCUCUGUAUCAUAGGUUAUCAAGAAUUAUUUCAUGUAAGUUCUUCAUUGAAUAAUUGUAGGUUCUUUUUAUCCUAAUCUAAAUCUCUCUUUUUGAUACAAAAUAUGCAAUGCACAUGAGUGUUUGCUAGUAAUAUGACAGUCUAGAUAGAAUAUGGUGAAGUAGUUACAAAAUGAAAAGGCCAAUCAUCUAUAGCACAUGCAUAAAGAUUAACAGCUAACUAUUUAACUAGAAUGCAAUUAUUGAACCAUUAUUAGCUCUUGUAUUUGUGAAAAAGAUCCGAUAUUCACAUUAAAACGAGUGGUGUUAUUCUUGAUAAGUAGCUCUCUAAAAAUAAUAUAAAUUGUGUCUUGUCCACUCUUGUCCGCUAGGUUCCAAUAAGUUAUAGCGCUUCAAAGAUUUUUCUGUGAUACCCAUAUGAAAGAAAUACUAAAUAAUACAUAUCAGUAUAUAGGAUCCCGACGAAUUUCGUCAAGUUUCUCAGGUUUGUUAAAUUAAACUUAAAUUUUCUAAAAAGUUUAGAAUCAAAAGAAUCACAAUGUCUUCAGUCCUCAAAAGGUGGCAAAAAUGUAUCUUAUUCUUGCUGUACAUAUAUAGCUACAAUCCGCCUUGUGCACAGGAUCUGAAAGAGGGGAAAUUCAAAAAAGAGAGAGACAGAGAGAGAGGGGAAAUAAGAAAGGAAACAAGAAAACAGAUGAUUAACAAGAAGGAAGAAGUCUAUCUUGAUCAUCAUUGGGCUAUAUUCUACAUAUGAUUGUUUUAAUUGCAAAGAUAUCAUACACCAUCUAUUAUCUAGUAGUCUAAAAUCAUCUUCACUAAUUGUUCAGCGGUAUCGUAAAAUUGUAGGAGUCUCUUCCUUAGCUCUAAGAGUCAGGCUCAACCAACAAAUAAAUUCAAAACCAUAUUACGCGGUCCUUACAAGAUCUAAAGUAGAAUCCAAAUGUUAAAGUUUCCACAUCACAAUAACUUUAGAUGUAAAUGAAACGUUAAUAAAGCUAAAGACAUUGACAAGUUAGCAUCCAAGUUAUGCAUUCCAACUUAUGCAUAAGUUAGAGCAAUUGAAACUCUUAUAAUUCUAAAAACAUUCUUCUCAACUUAAAAUAGGUGAUUAAAACUAGAGGAAGAGGUUUCCGGCAACAAGCCUGAACUUCCCACGAACAAAUUUAUGAAAAGAAAGAAAAAUUACUAGCCUCUACGUAUUUUCUGGAUAUAUUUAUGCUAAAAAACGAAAUGCAUUUCAGCCAUUGUCCAAGUCAAUUAGGCAUGACCGAUUAACAAAUGAAAUGUACAUAACAAGAUAAAUAAUGCCUCAAAAGACACUUAGGGCUCAUAAACAAACUAUGGUGGUAUACCCACGAAGCGUUUUUUCUCCUUUGGAGAGAAAAAAAGAAUAGAAGGGGCACCAAUCAAAGAAGUUUAAGGUGGCUAAUAUUUAGAAAGUCCGCAUUUCUUGAUAUCUUUGAAUUGCUCAAUACAUACUGUGCAUACUCAAGCAAAUACUUGCAGACAAGGAGACUAAGCAUCCUGUAAAAUAAAUUAGGCACAUGCUGACAUUUAAACCAGAAUUACAUAAGCUUCCAAUGGACAUUACAGGCAAGUGAAAAUGCAGAUAUGUUUGCCAAGAGAUAUUAAGUAAUCCUAAUAUUAGAGAUACUAAAUAAGCAAUGCUCUGACAAAUUAUAGUACCGGAAGUAAUAUUUCCAUCAAAAACGAAGAUAACCACAAAUUUAUGACAGACAGGAGGAUCGUCUUAUAGCAUUAGCAUAUGGUUAUUAAACAUAGACCAGCACUAAUGGCGGAUAUGCAAGAACAAUGUUGCCAAGUGCUUCUAUACUACUACAGAAACAUGUCUAUCAUCUAAUCUCUAGCCUGAUGUAAUAAAAGAUUAACAAUGACGCAUGCAUGAGAACCCAACUUUAUCCAUGUUAAUUAAGUACAUAUAUAGAACGGUAGAUAUAUAGUUUGCAAGGUGACACCAUUUUGCCAAACGUUGGAAUCAAGUUAGUACAUUCUAUGGAUAAUACACCAUCUCAAUUUUACUUUCCUCAUCCCAAUAAUUGCGGGGAGAAGCAGAAAGUGGCGCAAUAUCCAAAAAGUGUCAGACAUGAAAAGAAACUUUGUUUCUAACAAAAAAUAAAUUAUCUUUUAAGCUUAAGCCCAAGUCCACAGGAUGACAAGUCAUUUCAAUCAAAUCUAAAUUUAGAUUUGUGCAAUAUCUCCGUAAUCAAGAUGGGCUUAUUACAUAUUGACCAAGCAAAUUGUGCCGAUUUGUGGCAAUCAAAUCAUCUUAAUGGUGCAUGUGGCAUCAUUUUCUUUCUUACUAUUCCCAAUGUUUGUUAGGAAAAUCAGAAGAUAGAGCAAAUAUUAGCAAUAUUUCGGAAGUAAAAUCAAAGAUAAUCUAUUUAGUAAAGAUUUCUGCUUCUAUGCCCACUAGGGCAUUAAAUGGGGGGAAAAAUUGCUUGGCAUUAUCUUUUAAUCCUGCUCCAGCAAGUUAUUUCAGUCAGAUCUAAAAAUAAAUUUCUGCAUCCAGCCUCCAUCUUUCAGGUAGUGUUAUCCGUGCAUCUAUAUAUGUUUACAACAUCUUGAACUAGGGCAUACUUAUAUGCAACAUCUCCUUAAUUGAAAUGGAUGGCAUAUUUUAUAUUCUUAUAUAUGUGAACAUAAGAAAUCAUCCUUUUCUACUGGCUACAAUCCUCAAAAUCUCUGAAUAAAUCCAAAAACAUCUGUUUGAUAUCCUCACUCUGCUAUACAAGCACCAGCUUGACAUAUUUGUCAUGUAGAAUUCCGCACCCUGCUGUAAAGUAUCUGCUUCAUAUUCUAGGCAUCCACAGAAAAGAAGAAAAGGUGCAACUCCUAUAGCCCGUUGAAGAUCCAUACUUUCAAUAGAAGCGUUAAUACACAAAAUAGGAAUCACAUACCCACUAUUCUCCCAUUUAUAUUAAUUGACUAAGAAUGUAUAUGGAGACAGGGCUCGUCAAACAAGCUACUGAUACAAACGAAGGUGUUAACUUAGAACAAAGUGGCAAAUUUUCGAGCGAAACGCAAUCUCAAACCGAAUCCAAACGCGUCGGAUACUACAGAUCCCCAAAUACUGCAGCUUCACCGGAACCCGAGAUAUCUAGGGCACUGAUUCCCUACGUCAGAUCGCCGCGAUCGCCAUAAAACCCCCAAAGAAACCUAGCUUCCCAAUUUAACAACCCAAUCGCAAACAACAAAACCGAACCCUAGAUGAAAGCGAAAAAGAUUUAGGGGAUCGGGGCAACGAAUACCUCGUCGAUGAGGGAGGCGUCGUCGGCGGCGACGCCGCGGCGGACGAGGUGAUGGUGCGCGGCGGAGAGCGUCGGCGCCAGUGCCCCGACCCUCGCCCUCGUCAUCAGAUACUUCGCGAGAGCGCUCGCCAUUUCCGGUGAUAGCUUCGAGCGAAAAGGUUUCGUUCUGCUCCGCUGCUCCUGUGCAGUAGUGUUGGAGAGGGGGGGGUGGGGGACGGCGAGACGAACGCAACAGGGCUGGCGACACUCGGGCCAGAAAGAACGUGUGGCACGCGCGCUCGCACGUGACUAGUAGUAGCUCGGCCUGUGAAAAUUAGGCCCAAACUUGAAUUUUGGAGUUAACUUGGACUCAUAUAAGAUCAGCCCAAAACCUAAUUCUCGCCGGUGGUCCGUAACCUUCACCAAUUUAUUUCACUAUGAUACCGUCCCUAGUGCAAGUGGCAAAGAACUUGAAAGUUGGUACCCGAGAUUUCAAGUUUAAAAUUCGGUUGCUUCAUAUUUUCAGCUAAGUUUAUUCCUAAAAACAAUAAACGAAACGGGUAUCAUGCUACCUUUCUCUUCAAAAUAUAUAUAUACAGUCAUGUGCUUUCGAAAGUACGGAGGCCUCCGUGUUUGUAAGUUAUUGUCGAUGAUGGGACAUCCGAUUCAGCGAUCCAUUCUGUUAGACAUGAUCUAUGCUAUUGGAACUAUUUAGAAACCAAAUUUUAUAAUUUUUUGACUUCGUUUGCCUAGUGAACAAGUAACCUCAAAAUGAACGGCUGAAAAUAAAAAUCUCAUAAAAAAAGUGAUAAUGGACUCAAAUUUCAAAUUGAAAGUAUUGUUCUUAAUUACUCUUAUGUUAAGUAGAAUUUUCUAUUAAAUUUUCAUGUAAUUUGGAUACUUUUACACCGUUGAACUUAAAAACGUGUCACAUCGGCCGUUAAAAUAGUUAUUUUUAAAAUCAUAUGAUCGCUUGGUAAAUGAUGUCGAAAAAUUAUAAAUUUUGGUUUCUAGAUAGUUUCAAUAACAUAGAUUAUGCCUAAUGAAGCCGAUAGUCAAAUCGAAUGUCAUAUCAUCAAAAAUAACUUAUAAACACGAAAACCUCUGUACUUUCGAAAGUACGGAAGACGUACUCUAUUAUGAGGCCGUUUAGAUCAGGUAUAAAGGGGGGGAUAAAGGGUUAUCCCCCCUUUAUACCCAAACAAAAAUUAGAUUGGUACAACCCGGUAUGGACUGGGAACAAGUGUUCCCACCCAGGGGUGGGAACAAGCUUGUUCCCAACCCCCCCUUCCCCCGGGUAGAGAGAGAGAGAGAGAUUUAUUUUAAUUUUAAAUUUAAAUUUAUAAAAUUUAUAAUUUUAAAUUUUAAAUAUAUAAUUUAAAAUUAAAUUUUAAAGUUUAAUUUUAAGUUUUUAAAUUUUAAAUUUGUUAUUUUAUAUCUUUGAAAUUUAAAAUUGGUCUUAAAUUUAAAAUUUGAUAUUUAAAAUUAUAAUUUUAAAUUUUAUUUCAAAUUUUAAAAUUUAAAAGUUAAUAUUUUCAAUUUUUAAUUUUAAAUUAUAAGUUUAAAAUUUUAAAUUUUAAAUUCAAUUAUAGGGAUAAUAUCAUUAUUUUCUAUUUAUAAUUAACAACUAUUCCUCUUAUUCUCAAUAACCAUCCAAACGCAAUUUUUUUAGUUCUAGCUUAUACUCACAUUUUCAUCCAAACAAAAAAAAGUACUUUUGUUCUUACAAAACCCAUACUUGUACCUAUCCCCGGUAUAACUAGUUCCUACUAAUUUCCGAACCAAACGGAGAUAUUUAUUUAUUUCACUAUGAUCUCUAAUAUCUUUUCCCAUAUGCACAAUCAUCACAUCGAGCUCAAUCUCAUUACCCUCUCAAUGUUGUCCUACGCGCCUAUAAUCGACCACCUUGAUCUCCAAUGCGACAUAUAUUACCUCUUUUAAAACAUUCGAUAUCCUUAGUGUCAAACUGAACGUGCUAUCAAACUCUUCCAAAAACUUAAAAAAGAUGGCUCUAGAAUUGACAAGAGCUAUCCGACUAUAGCCACUGUCUAUAUGCACAGGUUAAUUAGAAUUGGCAUAGCUUAUUACAUCAAAAUCAAUCAAAAUUUAAAUGGUGGAACUUAAGUACAACAAAAUUUAAGGGUUAGGGAUCUAAUAGCAAAACAAGGAAAAAAAAACUAGGGACCAAAGUAAAAAUACAGAUAACGAUUAGGGACCAAUAUGGCAAUUAGCCCAACCUGAUAUUGCAAGUCGGUUCUUGUACUUCUCUGUUGGACAGUUUAGUUUGCAACACUCACUCACAUUGUAUUUCUCAUUUCUAUUUGUCAAAAAGUUUUAACCUCUUUUACUAAGCUUGUUUACAUAAAAUAUUCAUCGGUUUUGUAUUUUUAUAAAAACAGGCCAUUUAUUUAAACUUUGCAAAUUCGGUCCAAACUUUUAGUAAAUUAGCCAAAAUAACAUUAUUUAUCUGUUCUCCUUUUUUUCGCAUCUUUCUCCUCCCAGUUUGGGGUUUUCUGAAAACUUCGCUAUCAGAAUCCUAAUCGAAAGGCCAUCAUGUUUCAUGACGCUAAGUUGCACUAUUUGAGACCAAACUGCACCAUUUGAAACUAUUUGAGAUUAUGUUUCAUCGUAUAAAAUAAAAAAUACGCUGUUUGAGACUAAGUUGUACUGGUUUAGACUUAAUUUACAUCAUUUAAAAUUAUUUGAGGCUAAGUUGCAAUUUUUGAAUGAUGCAACUUAAGUCUCAAACAUUGUAACUUAGUCUCAACUUAGUUUCAACUUAAUAUCAAACAGUGUAACUUCUAUUAUGUGGUGCAACUUAGUCUCAAAGGUUUUAGAUGGUGCAAGUUUUUUUUUGAGAGAAAUAUAGCUUGCUAUCCGUUUUGUUUAUGUUUAAAUGGUGCAAAUUUGUCUCAAUUAAUACAAUUUAUUUCCAAAUAGUACAAUUUCAUCUCAAAUAGUGUAACUUUAUUUUUUUUUCUUCUCUAUUUUUGGCUUUUUCUGUAGCGGCCAUUAGAUAUGAUGGUCUUCUAGAAAAAGAAUUUUUUUUUUUCUCUUUUGUUUCCUUUUUUCCCAUCAUUUGUAUUUUUUUUUUGCUAUUACUCUCUCUCUCUCUCUCUCUCUCUCGCUUUCUGUCGCCGCCAUCGCCCCCACCUAGAUUCUUUUCUUACAUAUAACACUACACGGGUAUCUUUAUUCUUCGACAAAAUUAUGUGUACACCUACUCACAUUAUCCCCAAAAAUAUUAAAAGAAAAAAAAUCACCUGUAAUGCUAUUUCAAUUGAACAAUUUAUAGAAUUUCAUAUCCUUUUUAUUUACUAAAAUUUUUCUCAAGAGUUUUCUAUAGAAGUCAUUAAAUAGAGGUCUUACAUUUCACAAAUCCAAAAGCCCAAAUUAGCUAGAAAAAAAAAAGUUCUAGCUAUCAAAUCCUCGGAAGCUUUUCACGACCUUUUCUCCAAGGCAAAAAAUCAAAAAAAAUGACAAAAUACCCAAAAUCCUAAUUAAGGUUAAGAGAGAAAGAUGUCCAGAAUGAAAAAGAAGCGAAAAAAAAACCUAAUUGAGGCUAAUUUAAAAAAAAAAAAGAACCUUGAUCGAGAUUUUAUUUAAACAAAAAAAACUCCAAACCUAUAAAGGAGGCUGACAAACUAUUGUUUCCUGGAUGAAAAGAGGCCUUAAGAAGAAAACUUGUUGAAAAUGAAGAGGUUAACGCGCGAUAGUCAUGGAGGUGGAUUGAAAAGGGGAAGAGUGUGGCGAAGGCAUUCGUGCGGCUGAUUGAAGAGGCGCGAUCGUGCGUGGAGAGGCAAAGCAGCGAAGAAAUUGGAAAAAGCAGAAUGAAAUGGGAAAAGGCUAGGGUUUGCUCUGGAGGGAAGUAGAUAUUAAGAGAAAAAAAAAUAAGAGCAAUAUUAAAAAGGCCGCUAGAAAUGUCUAUAUGUUCCCGAUUGCAUUUUUGUCGAGGUUAUUGUGACACCCCAAUAGUCCCACAUCGAAUAAUUAUGACUAGAUGUGGGAGUAUAUAAGCUUGAUUGCGCUAGACAUAAUAACUGGGCUUAAGCAUUUUAGGCUAGUAUUUGGGCCCAAUGAGUUAUUGUUACUAGUGGGUUGGGUCGUUAUAUUUGGUAUUAGAGCCAGUUCACCAGCCGAAAAUGUGAGAUGAGUCUUAGCUGAGUCAGGGUCGGAAUGACAGACUAAGUCACGCUCGGUGAUUGACAUGCUUAACUCUCUUAACCUCUUGGGCCUAAUCACCAUCCAAAAUGCUUAAACCGGAUUAAGAGUUCUAACCCUAUUAUAUCUUAUAUAUAGGACUAUUUUGGGUCUUACAAUCUCCCCAACUUUGAGCCCUGACGUUCUCGUCAGGCUCAAACUCACAAGUACCAGGCGAUGUGAGACUCGUCUCGCUAGCCUUGUCAUUAUGACCCCGGCUCAACCAAAACUCAUCUCACACUUUAAGAGAGUAAAGCGUGCUAGGAUGAGAGUGUUCUAGGAUGGGUGACCCCCUGGGAAGUUGGGGCGUCACAUUUGAUAUUAGAGCCAAUUACCGGGUAUUAGAGCCAAUUACCAGCCGGAAGUAUGUGAUUAGUCUCGGCUGAGCCAGGAUUAUACGGCGGAGAGAGUGAGGCUCUCAUGCUGUUGGAAGUGUAAGAUGAGUCUCGGCUCAGUCAGAAUUAUACAGCGGAGAGACCGAGACUCUCAUGCUGUUGACUAUUGUGGGUAGAGCGCGACUCCUUUACAAGGUCGGUUUAGGCUAGCGAGACGAGUCUCAUAUCGCCUGGUACUUGUGAAUCUGAGCCUGACGAGGACGUCAGGGCUUAAAGGGGGGGAGAUUGUGAGACCCCAGGUAGUCCUAUAUAUGAAAUAUAAUAGGGCUAAUCUCUUAACACGGCUAUAGCAUUUUAGACGGUGGCUAGGUUCAAGAGGUUAAGAGAGUUAAGCGUGUUAGGACUAGAGUAGUUCUAGGAUGGGUGAUCCCCUGGGAAGUUGGGGCGUCACAUUUGGUAUCAGAGCUAAUUACAAGCCGGAAGUGUGAAAUAAGUCUCAGCUGAGCCAGAAUUAUACAGCGGAGAGAACGAGGCUCUCAUGCUGUUGACUGUUGUGGGUAAAGCGCGGCUCCCUUUCAAAGUCGGUUUAGGCUAGCGAGACGAGCCUCACAUCGCCUAAUACUUGUGAGUCUGAGCCUGACGAGGACAUAAGGGCUUAAAAUGAGGGAGAUUGUGAGACCCCAGGUAGUCCUAUAUAUGAAAUAUAAUAGGGCUAAUCUCUUAACCUGACUUAAGCAUUUUGGAUGAUGGCUAGGCCCAAGAGAUUAAGAGAGUUAAGCGUAGUAGGAUUGUAGUAGUCCGAGGAUAGGUGACCUCCUGAAAAGUUGGGGCAUCACAUUUGGUACCCCCUAGGAAGCUGAGGCGUCACAGUUGAUAUCAGAGCCAAUUACCAGCCGAAAGUGUGAGAUGAGUCUCGGCUACGUCAGGAUUAUACAACGGGGAUAGCGAGGCUCUCAUGUUGUUGACUGUUGUAGGUGGGGCGCGGCUCACUACAAGGUCAGUUUAGGCUAGCGAGACGAGUCUCAUAUCACUUGGUACUUGUGAGUCUGAGCCUGAUGAGAACGUCAGGGCUUAAAGGGAGGUAGAUUGUGAGACCCCAAGUAGUCCUACAUAUAAGAUAUAAUAGGGUUAGAACUCUUAACCCGGCUUAAGCAUUUUGGGUAGUGACAAUGCCCAAGAGGUUAAGAGAGUUAAGCGCGUUAGGACGGGAGUAAUACUAGGAUGGGUGACCCCCUGAGAAGUUGGAGCGUCACAGCUGUUGUUAUAAAUGCCGACAAAGCUAUGUUUUCCUACAGUGCUAGUACGGAAACUUAUUUUUGCCAUGGGUUGAUAUGGCGGUUUCGAUUAGGUUGUUUGCAUACUGGAUUGUGCCGAGGGAACAUGGAUAGUGUUUCUAUGAUCUGAUUGAUCAUUUGCAUUGAUUACAGCCUGCAUAAGCCGUAUUGAGCUCAAUAGAGAUAUGGGUUGUAUAUAGAUGCGGGUACCCAUGAAUUACCUGCAAAUUUGCUGGUAUGGAUACUAUUUUUUCUUAUCCAAAAAACUAUGGAUAAAAUGAGUGGGUACCAUUUAAGUUGUGAGUAUUUUAGGUAAUCCGAUGGUACCUGUAUAUAUUUUCUUAAUUAAAAAAUAUAAUCUUUAUGAUAUUGACUACAUAAUCAUGAAAACUUUAUUAAUUUUGUAUUAUGAAAAAUUGGAAUGAUAAAGUAAUUUUAUAUUAUAUAAAUUUAUGUGCUUUAAAAUUUUAUAUUGCUUACUAUGUAUCAUGAUAUUUCAAAUAACAAGUUAUGUCGUACUCUUAAAAAUUAUAUAUAUAUAUAUAUAUAUAUAUAUAUAUAUAUAUAUAUAUAUAUAUAUAUAUAUAUGUUUUGCAUUUGAAAAGUAUAGGAGCUAAAAAGAAAAAAAAAAAAAAAAUCUUGCGAGCAAUCCGCAUACCCACCCGCCAUUGCUCAUGGGCGGGUAUGGGUAAAGAUGUUAACUACUCAAAUAUUUACAAGUAAAUUUUACCCAUGCCUAUAUGACCCGCAGGUAUAAUGACAUGUCUACGGGUUACCCAACCCACCCGUCUACUAGCUCUAGUUGUAUACUUGGUGCGUUCAUGCCCCUUUAGUACCGCUUCGGAAUCUGAUUUUAGCAUUGAUGUUGCAACAGUCAUGGUAGGCAACCUAUAUUUUAAUAGGCCAUUUGCAAAAGUGGUGUCAUGAUAGUAUAUAGACGCAAACUUGAUUGAACUCUCGAGUCGGUCGGUAGGAUUGGGCUAUGAUUGUAAGCAAUCAGUAGUUAAUUGAUGUAUACUAUCUAUACAUAUUAUCUCGAGCAUCUGUAGUAUAGAGGCAUGGAAGCUGUAAAUUUUAUAUAUAUAUAUAGAGUGAGGCUACUAUGCUUCUGGAAGUACGGAGCCUUCCGUGCUUCCAGGUCGUUUUUGAUGUUGUGACUUUCGAAUCGUCGAUCGACUUCGUUAAACUUAAUCUAGAGUUUUUGAAGUACCUAGAAAAUAAAUUUUGCAAUUUUUCGAUAUCAUUUGCCUAGUGAACUAAGGGACUCAAAGUCAACGGCUGAAAAUAAAAAUCUUACAAAACGUGAUAAUAUGACAUUAAAAUAUUAGAUCAAAGAUAUUAAUCUUGUUUUAUAUAGUAUAAAGAAUUUUCUAUCAAAAUUUUACGUGAUUUGGAUAUUUCUAUACCGUUAAACUUGCAAAUGGCUCACCACGGUCAUUAAAAUUAUUAAUUUUGAGUCCCUACGAUCACCAGGCAAAUGAUAUCAAAAAAUCAUAAAAUUAUUUUCUAAGUACGUCAAAUACUCUAGAUCAAGUUUAACGGAGCCGAUCGACGAUUCGAAAGUUGCAACAUCGAAAACGACCUGGAAGCACGGAAGGCUUCGUGCUUCUAUAUAUAUAUAUAUAGUCCGGCUACUAAACUCUUAUAAGUACGAUCACCCUCGUACUCAUAAAUUAUUUUCAAUAAUAUUUAACGGAGUGGAUCGUCAAUUUGGAAGUUCCAUUAUUGAAAAUAACUUAUGAGUACGAAGUGCCCUAUACUCAUAAGAGUAUAGUAGCCCUGUUCGUACUCUAUACUCAUAAGAGUAUAGUAGUUCUAGCAUAUANCACGUCUCGACUCUCCGGGAUCUGCUUUCGGCUGGUUCCAGUCCCUGCGAAAGAAUCAAUGUAUCAGAAAUGACCCUAGAGAAACAAGAAAUCAUGAAGAUGGACGGAUCUAUGGGGAAAUCAACAAAGAGCGAGGUUUGUAUCGGAAGCAAAAUACAGGUGUGAUGAAUGAAAGAUGAGACGGAAAAAAUCAGAAUCCGGAUGUGUUUAAAAGAAACCAGAUACUGAAACAAUGGAGUCACAAAUUCAGUUUUCUUUUUAGGCUAAAUUACAUAAAACCUUCCUAUCAAAACCCGAUUUUUUACUUUCCCUCCCUGUCAUUUAAAAACCCAUACUUUGCCCCCUUAUAAAAUAAAAAAUGUUCACUUCACCCCAUGCCGUUAGUAAUCCGUUAGGAUUCCGUUUAUAAAAUAUUAUUAUAUUUUUUUUUAUGCCAAAAAUGCUCUCAACGUACUCUCCUGUGAACAUGGUGAGGGGCAAAAUGGUCAUUUUACUAUCACAGUUCACACCGUACCCCCUAUGAGCAUUUUUCAUUUUAUAAGGAGGCAAAGUGUAGAUUUUUAAAUGACAGGAGGGGAAGUGAAAAAUCGGAUUUUGAUACGGGGGUUUUUUGUAAUUUAGCAUUCUUUUUAUGCUACCUACAAGGAACAAUUCGAUUGCUUUUAGUGGCUCCCUGAAAGAGAGGCUUUCGGUUUCUCACGUUUUCGUCCGCGUAAUAAAAGUGAAUUAAGCCAGUUUAUUACUGCCGACUUUCAAUGUUUAGUAGUUUAAAAAUAGCUUCUGCCAAUAUAUAUAUAUAUAUAUAUAUAUAUAUAUAUGGUUGAUUAUCUCUUUUCUUUCUUACCUCUAUUAGAUCUAAUGAGUAGGUCAUUAUCGUCGAUGAUAGAGCUCUUCACACCUGUCGCUGCUUCUGAUCGAGGUAUGAGAUUAGGAAAUGGAUAACAUCUCCUAUCCGAGUUGGACGUAUAUUGAAGAACUCAAUAGCACUAGGCAUAUCGGGACCAGUGAUGCCAGCUUUAUUGUAUCUUUUACUUUUUGUUAUCUGAGAGGUGGCGGGUGUUCGUUUUGGGAUACUUUCUGUCAUUUAUGUACAGUGACCUUUUAGUUUAGUUUAUUUUAAUUAUUUCAGCUUUGCUAUCUACAAUAGUAGAUUUUUAGUCAUAUUUUGCAAGUUUAGACGCUUUGUGUAUAUGACGGAUCUGUUAACAUGACCGAGUUUCUGUCAUAAUCCGGAGCAUGAUAAAAAUUUUUAAUUAUGAAAAAUAAUCCUAAUUUUCAAUAGUUUGAUAGUUGAGCAAAUGUUAUUGAGUCCUCCGUAUACCAUUCCAUAAUUUCAUAUGGUAUUCCUCUGUGCCAACUCCUAGGAGGUUCCCUGAUCACCAUCCAUAAAUACAAAUUGCACAUAUUCUAUUCUUAAAUGCCAAAACUAAUUAAAUUCAUGCCGAGCACGUCUAUGUCUCCAUACUCUUAUCAAAUUUCAAGUUUCGUCUAAAACUAAGUCAAUUUUUUAGACAAAUAGCAAUCUUUAACAUAUUAGUUCGUUGCAAGAUAUACGCUCCUAAACUUGGUUGAUAUGGUUUUUUUUAGGAUAAUUAUUUAUAUAUCUCUCAAAGUUUUUUAAAUUUUUUAUAUAUUCCUACCUUUUUUUUUUAUCAAAUAUACCUUUCGUGUAUUUCUCCGUUGUUCUGUUAGUACCCGUUAAGUCAUCUCGGUUUUAAAAAAAAUCAAAAUACUCCUAUUGUUCCUAACUUAAGGACAAAUAAGAAAACUUAGUAACGGUAUAACGAUAUAUUUGAAAGAAUAAAAAGUCAAAAACUAUGUAGAGAUAUAUUUGAAAUGACAUAAUAAUAAUUUUUACAGUGAUAAAUCCUAAUAAUUCACCAACAGAAUUUAACUCCGUUGGUAGCCGAGUUUUCCGACCCUUGAUCCAGUCAAAGAUCCUCCUCGAGGAGUGUGUCGGGGUGAGGAACGGCUGCGGAUAGUGACCCUCGAAGUUUGCGCCCUUCGACUGGAUCAAGCGAUUCGGCUGACGAGGGAUCGAGCUAGCCGAAUUCGAAAACCACUAUUUUCUAUUCGGUUCGGUUGGAAUGAGCCGAAUGUACAGCACAUGCCAGAAACUAGGCUGGGAGAAGAGCCGAAUGGCUAAAGCAACACGAGACUUUGUCAGCUUGAGGAGCCGAAAGACUUUCUAUUGAUUGACUGAUGGGAAGUAUAAGGACGGAUAUGUAGUUUACAACGGAGUGAUGCCCAUGGGGCAGACAGAUUCCAGGAUUCUACUCUAGCGAACUACUCUUAGAGAAAAACAGUAAAAUUACAAGUAGACUACUAUUAGAAAAUGAGGAAUACUUCAAUACUCCGUAUAAAUCUUGACCAUUUAUUUUUCUUAAUAGAUGGUUUAGAUUUAAUAUGAUUAUAGAGGUGACCUGCUAUUGAAGCAUAGGUACCAUUCAUCAGGUACCCAUUUAAAGUGUAUUUUAGUCUUUGUAAAAUAGUUUGGUCCACAAAAUCGAUUUUAUCCAACUAAGAAUAUUGUGACCCUCUUAAAUACCUACAACAAUAGUUGAAUUUUAAAUUACAACCAAACUGUAAAUUUAAAUUCAAAACAACAUUUAAAACUUUAUAAAUCAAAUUUAAUUUUUUUGAAUAUAAAACAUAAAUUUAAAAUAAAACUUUUUGUUCCAAUUUAAAAUUUCAAUUUAAAUCAAAAAUUAAAAUUUGGCUUUAAGAUUAAACGUUCAAUUUAGAUUCAAAUUUAAAAGUUUAAUAUACAUUUCAAAAUUAAAAUUUUACAUUACAAUACUAAUUUCAAAAAUUAAAUUUAAAUUCAAUAUUUUUUUGAGAUGAAUACUUAAUAAAUUGGGUAUCAUCUAAUUUGGUAAGUUAUCAAAGUAAACAAGAUAUUUAAUAUUUAAAGAAUACUGACAAAUUUGGUAUAUACUAAUUUUUUUUCAAUAUUGUAAUGUUAAUUAAUUCAAAUCGGUAACAUGUUCAAUAGGUUACUUCAUAUAAAUCCCAACUAUACUCUUUACUAAUUAAGGAAUUAAAUUUUAAUACUUAUGGUGUAUUGAAGCAUUCCUCCUAGAAAAUAAGGAAAUUACGAGAAAAUAAGAGUGGUCUUUUGUUCACAGGGAAGGACCUCUUUUCAAAGUAUCGUUGACCUAUUUAUAGGACCGCCCCUGGUUCACUUAUUACAUGAUCGGCCACUACCUCCUAAAAUUCCGGACCAACUUCAGCCGAUCGAACCGCUCGCAACUGCUUGCGGUUACUGUAACUUCCUAUUUGCGCGACAAUUUUCUUCUUUAGAACUUUUUCGGUGCUCCUGGUGCACGGCCAAAUUAAUGCCUUUGAAAGGAAUUUCGGCCUACCACCCGUCCGCGCCUAAUUGGCUCAACAAACUCUAUAAUAUAUAUUUGAAAUAACUUCGGAAUGUUAAAAGAAUAUUUAUUAUAUUAGCCUUCUAAGGAGUAAACAAGACAAUCUGAAAUUUUUCAGAAUUAAAUAAGCAAUUGCCUUUUUUUUUUCCUUUUUUUUGUUAUUUUUUCUUAAUUUUGGUUAUCUAUAUCUAGUGUUUAGCUAGCAGUGGUGGGUAGUUGAUAUUAACAAUUGAAUGCUGAAUUGCUGGAACUUUAAAUUAUUCAGAAGUACUGUGUUUAUUAACAAAUUAAUUAUCUAUUACAACCUAUUUCAUCGGUGGUUUAUCUUGGAUGAUAAGGAGACGUUGUAGCGACGCAAAGAUUAGAAAACAACAAAAAGAUUAGAAAAAAUUUCAAAUACCACUCAUGUGGUUGCGCACUUUCUCAUUUUAGUACCCUAUGAUUUAAAGUGUAUAUAUCAUCAUUUUCAUACUUGUGAUUUUAUUUUUCUCUUUUUGUUAUCCUUUGCACUAAUAUUUUUUGUUGAAUCAGUGACAAAGGUAAAACUAAAAGGUACUAAAGUGAAUAUUUGAUAAACUAUAGGUGAGAUAUCUGAAAUUUUUUGUAUAUGAUUUAACGGAAAGUUAGCGGAGGGGUUGACAAAAAGAGAAAAAUAAAAUCAUAGGGUACUAAAUUGAUACACUUUAAAUCAUAUAAUACUGAAGUGAGAAAGUACGAAACCACAGUGGUGAUAUCUGAAGUUUACCAAAAAGAUCAAUUAGAGCUACAGGCGACCUUCUAAUUUUUCCGGUAACAUUAUUCUCAAAUCCAACUUGGAUUACAUAACUCUAGCUUCAUUUCGAGCAACUGGUUGUUGACCUUACAAAGAAACUAUUUUAAUGCCAUUUCUUAUAAAGAUAUCAACUUGACAUGCUCCUCAUUAUAGUAUCCAAUCUUUCUCUACAUAUUUAGACAUUUUCCUACUCAAGCUUAGUUUGGUCAAACCUCGCUAGCUCUUCGUAACAUACGAAUAUGUUGAUGAUGAACAAUUGAAGACAUUUUAGAGAGUCGAAGAACAAGAAUUCUUUCAGAGGGUGCGAGUUGAUGGAAAAAAGACUUAUCUUUAGAUUUGGCGAUAGGAGCUGCAGAUUGACUCGAGAUGGGUGUUGGCUCUUCUUCUUCCUCACUCAUGUUGUUCGAAUUCUGGUCACGUUGGCACACACCGACCCUCAAGAUGGUAAAUUAAUUUGACUUGCCUAUCUAUUUUACGUACGGUUUUUUCUUUUUUUAAAAAAAAAUUAUAUAUUUCGGCAUGCAAGAGCAAUGCUGCGUUUACAAUCUAGAAAAGUUUGUAAUUCUACUACUCCAUUAAAAGGAAUGAGUAAUCUUUAGUUUUAGCCUUUGAAUGAGAGAUUGUUGUGUUACAACUUCUUGGUUUUCUCUUUUCACAAUUGUUUUUUUUUUUUUUUUGAGAGAUAGGUAGCACGCUACUCGCUUCGUUUAUUUCAUUUAGAAAUAAACUUAGCUGGAAAUGUGAAUCAAUUAGGAUUCGAACUUGGGUCUCGGGUACCAACCACCAAGCCCUUUGCCACUUGCUCCAAGGACGGUCGGUCUCUUUUCACAAUUGUUGCGAGCAUAUUAUUGAGUGUUUGAAUUAGUGUUUCUUGAAUUUUGUCGUGAACUAUGGAGAGAACCACAAGCUGUUAGUGAUGAAUGAAAGUCAUGUAGAAACAUUAGAUGUCGAUAAAAAUAGGCUCUUUUUUUUUUUAUUUAGCCCCUUCAAAACAAAUUUCUUUUAUGAAUGACCCUAAUAAAUUUAUAUGUGCAUAUAUGACUUUUUUCUUACCACGCGAGUGUCACGUUGGUAAUUUUAAUUUGAAUACGGCGAUUGAAUCACCGUAUUCAUAUUCAUACUUUAGUGUCUUUUUUAACUUAUAGGCAAUAAAAAAUAUAAAAAGAAACACGUGAUUCAAUCACCGUGUUCAACUUAAAAACACCACCUAAGCACUCGCAUGGUAAGAAAAGGAUUAUUUAUAUAAAUAUAAAUUUAUUAGAGUUAUUUGUAAAAAAAAAAAAAAAAACUGAGGGGGCUAAAUAUAAAAAAAGUCCAUAAAAAUAUGCUGAGAUUAUGUUAAAAUAAUGCCCUCUCAAACUUUGGCUGCUUAGGCUAAAUUGGCUAUGUUUUAAAAUUUAACGGCUUAAUCAAAUCGAAUAAAUGGAAAGUUUAUGUGAAUUUUCAUUUUUUGCCUAAACUUUUUUAGAUUAAGAGAGUAUAGCAUUUCUUUUUGCUCUUAACAUGGCCCCCAAAACAUGGGCUGAUCCAUAGCCUGGACCCGGCCCACGCUCGUUAACAUAAGCGUGUAUCAAAUCAAUUCAAUUAAUAAGCUUUAUGAAGAAUUUAAUAAAGAAUAAUAAUAUCAUAGAUUCGCAUUGAAAUGAUAUAGAAGAAAAAAAAGUUAUUUUUGCAAGGUAAAAAUUUUGAAAUAAAUAUUUUUAUUUUCAUCUUAAAAUAAAAAGCAAAGCUAGAAUAUUUUUAGAAGCAAUUACAUGCUAUUUCUCGUGGUGAUGAAACAUUCGAUUGAUUAUUGUCGCAAUUAAAUGUAAUUUAGAUUAUUUAUAUUUUUUAAAUCUUAGAAUUUAUAAAUUUUUGAUAUUAUUUAUUUAAUAGGUAAAAACUGUGUAUAACUUAUUUGAACUACAGACCAUUUUGAGUCGGCUAUUUAACCUUUCAAACUUUUAAUUUUACUAUAUAAUCUUUCAAUUUGAAUUUUAAUUUUACUAUAUAAUCUCUCAAUUUGUUUGAUUGAGUUAGUCAACAAUGCUUUAACUUUAAAAUUUUAAUGUGUUAUUUAUUUCUACAAGUUUAGUUAGCAUAUUUUAUAUAAUUUUUGCAGUUAUAAAUUCAUUAAAAUAAGUAAUUAACUUAAAUUUUAAAGUCAAAAUACCGUUGAUUCACUCAAAUUCAAACAAAUUGAAAGACUGGGUAGUAAAUCAAAGUUUUGAAAGAUUGGAUAGCCUUACUCAAAAUGGUUUAUAGUUUAAAUAAGUUAUGUAUAUUUUUAUCUAUUUUGAUAGCUAUUUAGGGUCAAUUUCAUUCAUACCCCUGUAAAAAUAAAAAUAUCAUAAAUAUCCUUAUAAAUUUUUUAUUAUCNGCUCUUAUUCUCUCUCUCUCUCUCUCUCUCUCUCUCUCUCUCUCUCUCUCUCUUAUUUUUACUUUACUUAAGGUUAAGAUUAAAAAUAAGUAAGGAUUGAAAUGUCUAGUUUACCCUUGACUAUUACAAAUUUUUAGAAGGGCAAAAGCAUGGGCUUCAAAAUAAAAAGAAUUUCAAAACUAUCCCUCACUUUUUAAUUCUUCUUUGUUUAUAUAAAGGUGUACAUUUUAAUAAAUAGUUUGGAUAAAUAUAUUAAUAUUUAAUUUAGAUCAGUCAAAUAUUUAACAAAUUUUAUUAAUAUCUUUUUUAUGAUGUAUAUUGGGCAAGUUAGCUUGGAUGCUUAUGUUAGUUCAAAUAGUUAAGUUUAUAUUAUGCAAACUUUUACUCAGUUUUGGAUUACAAACCGUUCAAAUUAAUAAUUUUAGAUUAACUUAAAUAUUAUAGAAUCUUUUAGUUCAAUAUUUUCAGAUUAAUCUAGAUUUCAGGUAUUGUUUUUUAGUUCAAUUUAUUUUAGAAUGCAAAAGUUUAAAUUUAUAAAAGCUUGUUUACAUGCUAGUUUGUAACGCUACUCCAAAAGUGAUUUUCUUAACUUACAUUAUUUUUAUAGUUGUACCCAUUUUUUUUAUUGCUUCUUUCUAAUCUUAUACAUAAUAUUAAAUCAUUUUAUUGUUACUUCAAAUUUGGUAAAUAAUUUUAUACUGUAUAAUUAGUGAUAAAACUUUGUAACUGUUUAGUCGAUUUAUUCUUCACUCUCUCCCUUUAUAAAAAAACCAAAAAAAAUUUAGAAGCAAUUAACAAGAUUUAAUAAGAUAAUAAAAGUAUCAUCCUUUUGUUUUUGGUUAUUCAAAUUUUACAGAUAAGAGAAUCAAACCAUAUGACUUACACAAAUUUCAGAUUUCAUAAGCAGGCCUAAAUAAUUAUAUUAAAAGUUAUAUUUUUUAAAACUAAUAUCUUAGACAACAAGUGUGCAUGUUGCUAAAACCUAAUUAUGGAUUUUUAAAUUCAAAGAGUGUUUACGAAAGUUAUAACUUAUUAGCGAUAAUUGGAGCAUUUAAAAGCACAAUUAUGAAAAGGCUAAGACUGGUAUUUGCUUGUUAUUGUUGUAGACCAGUUUAGUGAAAGUUAUUUUAAAGGGUAGUUUUGAAAAUUUGCUGUGUUUGGAGGGGCAUUUAGGAUAGCUCAAUUUUUAUAUUAAAUGUUUCCUAUAUUCAGAGGAAAAUUUGGAAUAUUUUAAUUUUUAUAGGGACUGUAUUUUUAGAUGGACAUACAGAAAAAUUUUCCUAUUUAAGGGAUGGGGUCACUCACUCAUCAGAUUUCCACCUGCUGGAUGAGUGGGAUGUACAAUAUUGAUAUUUUUCGAAAUUGAUAAAUGUUAUUAGUUAAUAAGAUAUAAAUUUAAAGGGCUUUUUUUUUGCAAAUAGUCCCCUGACAAAUUUUAUUUGCAAAAAUAGCCCUGUUCAAAAAUUAUUUGCAAAAAUGGCCCUGCUCCUGCCACGCCAACGCCACGUCAGCGCCACGCGGGCAGGACGGGCCCAGAUGUUUAAGUUGAACACGGUGAACCAUUCACCGUGUUCAAUACAAGAUUUUUGUAUUGGACACGGUGAAUGGUUCACCGUGUCCAAUACAAAUGCCCCAACAAUGACUAAGUUAGAGGUAUUUGUAUUAGACACGGUGAACCAUUCACCGUGUCUAAUUAUUUGUAUUGGACACGGUGAAUGAUUCACCGUAUCCAAUACAAAUAUUUCGAUCUUAGCUAUUUUGUAUUGGACACGGUGAAUCAUUCACCGUGUCCAAUACAAAAACUUUGUAUUGAACACGGUGAAUGGUUCACCGUGUCCAAUACAAAAACUUUGUAUUGAACACGGUGAAUGGUUCACCGUGUUCAACUUAACCAUCUGGCCCAGCCCCGCCCGCGUGGCGCUGACGUGGUGCUUGCGUGGCGGGGCCAGGGCCAUUUUUGUAAAUAAAUUUUUGACAGGGCCAAAUUUAAAAUUUUUUUUUGUAAGGGGGCUAUUUGCAAAAAAAGCCCAAAUUUAAAUUAACUUAAUAACUAGUUAAUGGCAUAACAAAUUUAUAAAUUUUUUUCUAAAAACUUUAAAUAACAAAAUAAAUUAAAUACUAAAAUUAAACCAUCGCUGCUAAGAAAGUAAGAAUAAAGUAGGCUAUCAUAUCUAACGAAUUUAUAGCUAAUAAAGAGUUUGAUGAUUGACAUGUGCAAAUUCAAGUUAGAUGUAGGAAUGUCAAUGGGGGUCGGAUUCGAAGCGAAUUUUUAAAAAUCCGAAUCCAAAUCCGACGAAUUUUAAAAUUCAUAUCCAAAUCCGAACCCGACCAAAAAACUAAAACCUGAAUUCAAAUCCGAACCGAAAUAAUUAUUUCUCUUUUGCAAUAUUUCAAAAUAUAUUAUGUUAAAUUUAAAUUCUUAAAAUGCAAAUUUAAAUAUAAUAUUAAAUUUUUAUUUACAUAUUAUAUAUAAUGUAAAAUAAAUUCUGAUUCGGGUUGAAUUCGAAUUCGGAUCGGAUACAUUCAAAAUUCAUAUUUGUCGGAUCGUUGGCGCUAACCAUUAAUCCCAAAAGCUUGAGCUGUUAGAAAUACGCAACCAAUUCACUUAAAGCGUACAGAAACAACGCCCACGGGUCUCGAUUGUGACUCGGCCCACCUGGCCUCACGCCGCUUCGAACGUGACUCGGCCCAACCCAGCCUCAUGGCAUUUCGAACAUGACUCGGCCCACAUGGCCUUACGCCACUUCGAACAUGACUCCCGUCACAGAGCAAGAUGCUGACCCAUUUAAGCCAACAAUAUUCGUAUUCA